AUGCCAAACAUUUAUGCAAGUAAGAAAAUUUAAGCGUUAUCUUUUGACAGGUACAAGUGGCUACAUACGUUAGAUAACUCACCUUUAUGGACGCGCUCUCUGGAGAGUGAUAAGACAAUUUCAGACAAGGAAACAAUGUUCAGUAUCUUUAAGACAAAAUACAGAUGCCGACAAAACCAUGCGCAUCUUUCUCCAAAAGAACGUGAUGAUUGCAAUGGAUACCUUUGUAAAAAGGGGCACACUCAUCACCAAAAAAGAGAAGUUGACGUUUGUAACAGACAAAUUUUUAUUUGCCAAAAAGGGCACGAACAUGAGACAGAAAAGGACUGGCGUAUUUGUAAUUUCAGUGGAACACCGGAUGGAGACAUAUAUGACAGAUUUACUCAAAAUGUAUCAAACAUGCUUCAGUUCUAACAUCAGGAUAAUGUCAAAUCGAGAUACUGAGUUUGAUGCAGGUUUCAACACGAUAUAAUUGAUGUAUUCACUGAACUCACAUUUAUAAUGCUGUCAUAUUCAUGUUGUUAGGCCCGUUGAAUUAAAAUAUAUUUAAGCCACAUAAUCAACGAACGUACAACAAAAUAUAUCAAUAUCAUGUAAUUUGUCUGAAUAAGCUAUUAUAUUUUGAUAUUCAGAUAUCAGAUAUUUUAUAUUUGAUAUCAGAUUCGAGAUUUAGAUAUCGAAUUGAUGUUUUAUGAUGCAAAUUGAAAUAACAAAGCUCAACAAUAUAUCACUCUAAGACUAAGAAUUAAGGAUUCGAAAAGACCAUCGUAUGAAACGGUCGUUGAUAAGAUGACAUUAUUAUUCGAAACACCAAAGGGCAUGAAUCUACAGGAACGUCACAGAUUCCAAGUUUUAGUUUUCUUUUCUGUAAUAUCAAGUUCCAAAAAUACAAAUAAAAUUGCACUAAUGAUUAAAAGACACUAAGAUGAUUUUGCUGUUCGACUUAGACCUUGAAUAAACAGGUUCAAGCUCUUCUUUAGCAUUCUGAUACGCGAAAACUAUGAACAUAAACGCUACGCGUUAUAAAGUUAAACAUGGUAUAUUUCUAAAACUAGACUUUAUUAAGGAGAACAAAUGUGGUUUGCAGUUUAAAGAGGCACACCUUAGGUUGAUGGAAGGUUAUUUGGAUUUAUUUUUUAAUUUAUUAUCAUGUUUAAUUUACUUGAUUUCAAUGAUAAACAAACAUAUGAUCUGUGAAAAGAUACAAAUAGAUAAUGUUUUAUAAAUGUUUUCUUUCUUCAAUUAAUAGCUACGUGGAAACAAAUUCUCCUCUUAUAAAGAUGCCAAAAUAUCACUUAUAAUUCUUCUCUGUACACAAAUCGUAGUUUUAUUGUUUGUUUUAAUAAUUAAAUGAGCACUAUAAUGAUGCAUUAAAGCUAAAGGAUGUUUUGCCUCAACCCAUAGUGUGGCUCUUUUUUAAUAUCCACCCUAUUACCACCAAAGGUAAAUAGUUCACUCUUGGUUUGAUCAUUUGAGAAACAUACCUUAGGAGUUCUCUUAGUGGAGUUUAUAAAGAUCGUCCACUGAAACAAGCAACUAGGUUCCAUAUCUUAACAUGUCUGCUGGUUUAUUUCUUUUUCUUGUAUUAUUAAUAGUUCAAGGUUUGAUAAAUUUGAGUACUACCUUGAGUGAAAUUUAAAAAUAAUACAUGUUUGCUUCGUUAUAACCUUAUAAACAUAAUUUACUUUCUAAUGGCUGAUUCUAUUCUAUUCUAUUCUAUAAAACUUCGCUUGGUGCUAUGACGUUGUAAUGUGUUAAUCAAACCGUUUUGUAAUCAUCACAAUCUAUCAAGCAGCUGUUAAUGUAUUUUUGCUAGGAACAUUUAAUUAAUGCAGAUUACCUGAUACAGCGCCUUUGCACUUAAGUGAUAUUGUUAAAUAUGCCUUGUGCGAUAGGAUCAGGAAUACAAAUAUUAAUUUAUUUUCAUUUAAAUAUUUAUUUGACAAAAUACAGAAACAACUACAUUAGUUAAAAGUUUCGAAUCCGAAUUUCGAUUUUGACACGAAUAUAAGAAAGUGUUUUUCAUAUUGACACAUACAGUUUUCAUCAUCCGUAUAAAAUAAUAUAAAAUGUUUGUACUUCUUAAGACUGUUAUCUUCAUUUAUCUUACAUCGAUUACUUAUUCACAUGAUGAGAUCGAAAUGUCUGACUAAACUUUAUCCUUUGAGCAUUUCUAAUGUUAUUGAAUCGUAUCUUGAGCUUGUUAUUUAGAUGCCCAAUCGACAUUGGUAAAUAAA
This is a long non-coding RNA of Mya arenaria, 2237 nucleotides long. RefSeq lists it as uncharacterized. The transcript has 4 exons. NCBI's taxonomy places the organism in Eukaryota, Metazoa, Mollusca, Bivalvia, Myida, Myidae. The record is from RefSeq and is a predicted model, not a curated record.